GGAAAUGCCCUAAAACCAAUAAUAACAAGAAAUCGUUAAUGUGUAUAUAUGUCAAAUACAUAAUUUAAGCAAAUAGUUCAAUUUAAGACAAUUAUAUGUAAUUACCUCUGGAAUGUUCGGCUGAAAGGUACAAUUGAUACUGUUUUUGUCCGAAGCAUCUCUGUAUACUGUUGAGGUGCUAGCCUCUCUUUCUCUCCUCAAUGCAUCAAGCUCAGCUUGCAUGGCUUCCAGUCUUGCAUGAAGCUCCC
Molecule: long non-coding RNA, 248 nt
Filed under: Lathyrus oleraceus (garden pea)
Lineage: Eukaryota; Viridiplantae; Streptophyta; Magnoliopsida; Fabales; Fabaceae
Description: Pisum sativum (pea) long non-coding RNA (PSAT_LNC014752)
Source: RNAcentral